RNAcentral lists this long non-coding RNA (1069 nucleotides) under Pan troglodytes (chimpanzee). RNAcentral's name for it is "lincRNA". Lineage: Eukaryota; Metazoa; Chordata; Mammalia; Primates; Hominidae. The record is from RNAcentral.
GGGGUGCUUCAGCAGCAGUGCAAUGACGAGCAUGCACAGGAUUGAUUGUAUUUUCCUUGGAUGGCUUUCUUGAGCCUUGGAAAUCUGGCUCACUGGGAAUUCUAGGCUUCUGUUGUCCCUUGCUUCCUAUCUUGUGUCCGGAAUUUAUUCCUUCCGGUGGGUUCCUGGUCUCGCUGACUUCAACAAUGAAGUCGCAGACCUUCACAGUGAGUGUUACAGCUCUUAAAGAUGGUCUGUCCAGAGUUUGUUCCUUCAGAUGUAUCUGGAGUUUCUUCUUUCCGGUGGGUUCAUGGUCUCGCUGACUUCAGGAGUAAAGCCACAGACCUUCACAUCUCACUCUGUGGCCCAGGCUGGAGUGCAGUGGCUUGAUGUCAGCUCACUGCAACCUCUGCCUCCCCGGCUCAAGCAAUUCUCAUGUCUCAACCCCCUGAAGUAGCUGGGAUUACAGGAAAUAUUUGGCAACAUUUUCAGACAUCUUUGAUCAUCACAGUGGGGAGUAAAGCCAGCUGCAAUUAUAAAGAUGCACACACACAAAAGAGAAAGAGGAGCAGAAAGAGUGAAGAAAACAUGUCCAUUUAUCAGAAAAUAAAUAUACAAGUACAAUAGAAGAAAAAGGGGUAGAAAACAUUUUGAAGAUUUAGAAAGGUAGAAGAAAAGGGGGUAGAAAACAUUUUGAAGAUUUAGAAAGGUAAGUUCAUUACCACAUAAAAUAUCUUUCUAAAGCUCCGUUCUUUCAAGUGAUUUUUUUCUUAAAAUUUCCCUUUGUGUUCUGAAUUUGCCUUUAAACUAUUGCUGAAACUAUCUCAGACAGUAUAUUUUUAAUGAUUUAAUUCUUAGAGAAUCUCCUCUGGGUGAACGCUAGGGACAGGGAUUGUUCUAUAGAUGGCAAUGGUAAUAGGCAAAGAGGUAAUAAUUUGAGUGUUAGAUAAAAAUCCAGGUCAAAGCUGCUUUACUACUCUAUUUCAAAUCAUUUUUAAAAGCUAUCAUUAGAUAUUGUCUUUACCUAUUAAUAUUAAAAGACUACUAGCAGUAUUAAAUUAUGCAACAAUUAGUACUUUCUGUAAGCAAU